UGCAAGUCGAGCGAAUCUGAGGGAGCUUGCUCCCGAAGAUUAGCGGCGGACGGGUGAGUAACACGUGGGCAACCUGCCUGUAAGACUGGGAUAACUUCGGGAAACCGGAGCUAAUACCGGAUAAUCCUUUCCCUCACAUGAGGGAAAGCUGAAAGACGGCUUCUAGCUGUCACUUACAGAUGGGCCCGCGGCGCAUUAGCUAGUUGGUGAGGUAACGGCUCACCAAGGCCACGAUGCGUAGCCGACCUGAGAGGGUGAUCGGCCACACUGGGACUGAGACACGGCCCAGACUCCUACGGGAGGCAGCAGUAGGGAAUCUUCCGCAAUGGACGAAAGUCUGACGGAGCAACGCCGCGUGAGUGAUGAAGGUUUUCGGAUCGUAAAACUCUGUUGUUAGGGAAGAACAAGUAUCGGAGUAACUGCCGGUGCCUUGACGGUACCUAACCAGAAAGCCACGGCUAACUACGUGCCAGCAGCCGCGGUAAUACGUAGGUGGCAAGCGUUGUCCGGAAUUAUUGGGCGUAAAGCGCGCGCAGGUGGUUCCUUAAGUCUGAUGUGAAAGCCCACGGCUCAACCGUGGAGGGUCAUUGGAAACUGGGGAACUUGAGUGCAGAAGAGGAAAGUGGAAUUCCAAGUGUAGCGGUGAAAUGCGUAGAGAUUUGGAGGAACACCAGUGGCGAAGGCGACUUUCUGGUCUGUAACUGACACUGAGGCGCGAAAGCGUGGGGAGCGAACAGGAUUAGAUACCCUGGUAGUCCACGCCGUAAACGAUGAGUGCUAAGUGUUAGAGGGUUUCCGCCCUUUAGUGCUGCAGCAAACGCAUUAAGCACUCCGCCUGGGGAGUACGACCGCAAGGUUGAAACUCAAAGGAAUUGACGGGGGCCCGCACAAGCGGUGGAGCAUGUGGUUUAAUUCGGAGCAACGCGAAGAACCUUACCAGGUCUUGACAUCCUCUGACAUCCUAGAGAUAGGACUUUCCCUUCGGGGGACAGAGUGACAGUGUGCAUGUUGUCGUCAGCUCGUGUCGUGAG
This 1031-nucleotide ribosomal RNA is filed under the name Bacillus sp. 18I-10. RNAcentral describes it as "bacterial SSU rRNA". It matches the Rfam family "Bacterial small subunit ribosomal RNA", at positions 56 to 1071 of the family's 1533-position model. The record is from RNAcentral. Lineage: Bacteria; Bacillati; Bacillota; Bacilli; Caryophanales; Bacillaceae.